Molecule: non-coding RNA, 124 nt
Submitted as: unclassified sequences
Source: Rfam
GGCAGGGGCUUGCACCCAGGCUUUCGAUCCGCCGGAAGGGCUCCCGGCGUUUGACGCACCCGGGUGGGUAGCGGAAUCGUUACGGACUUAGCGUUGUUAUAGCGGUCCCUCAAUGGUGCAAGCC